RNAcentral lists this transfer RNA (73 nucleotides) under Dehalococcoidia bacterium. RNAcentral's name for it is "tRNA-Val". It matches the Rfam family "tRNA". From Rfam's summary of the family: Transfer RNA (tRNA) molecules are approximately 80 nucleotides in length. Lineage: Bacteria; Bacillati; Chloroflexota; Dehalococcoidia. The record is from RNAcentral.
GGGCGUUUUGAACUGAAUUAGCACCUGCCUUACAAGCAGGGGGUCGGAGGUUCGAGUCCCCCAUCGCCCACCA